This is a non-coding RNA of Taeniopygia guttata (zebra finch), 2573 nucleotides long. The record is from RefSeq and is a predicted model, not a curated record. NCBI's taxonomy places the organism in Eukaryota, Metazoa, Chordata, Aves, Passeriformes, Estrildidae.
AAAAGGCUUACAUACACUUAAAUUAAACACAGCAGGGUUUUAGUAAUCUCUGUUUGCAUUUUACUUUCUGUUAAGAAGGAAAUUGCUUGGACUGGGAACAUUUCAUUUAAUGGCAUUUUUAGUUACCUUUUGUACUUCUAAUGCCAUAGUCUAAAUUCACCCCAAAUUACCCAGGAAGGCAAAAGAAACUUUUGUCCUUUAUUUUUAAUUGCUGUAGCUUCCUUACCAAUUUUACUAAAUUAAAUGUGUUUUAAAACAUCACCGUAUUUGAAACCUAAUUAUCCCAAUCUCUGAAUGAAGAAUAGCUAACAAUACAAACCCCAUUUAUGUAAUUUAUUUUGCAAAAGGAAAAUAAAUGGAAUGCAGUUGCAGUAAUGAUAUACAUGUUUGCAAUUUCACCCUGCUUUUUUCUCUUCCCCACAACAACUUAGGGAAGCUGCAUUUUAAAUUUUUUUUUCUUUUUUUAAACAGAUGCUUUAAAAGCAUCUCUGCUGUGGCAUUUGUUGUAUCUGUACUGCUCUCAGAAUGAGGGAAACUCUGCAUAAUGUCAUGUUCUCUCUAAGUACCAUGAAGGGCUUUUGUUUUGUGUGGUGGGUUGGCUUUUUGUUGGUUUUUUGAGUUUUUUUCUGUUCUAGCUGGUCAUGAAUGAGGAUUAUGGCCUGUCGCCCACAAUAAGUCAUGAAUGAAGAUCAUGGCUGGUAAUUGUGAUGUAUAAAAUAAAAAGAGUGGGAGAUGCAGGGCUGAGAUGCUCUGGGUGUUCAAUCAUUAUUCAGCACAACCCAGCCAAGUGGAGUUUAAUCUUCUCAGACCACCUCGUCCCAAGAUCUUAAAUUUGGGUUUUGUUGGAUAAGCCACCAUUUACUCACUGCAUUUAUUAAUUACUUGCUGACUUCCCAGUACUUCCAGCGGCAUUAAACUCUGUCCCAGGGAAGAAAAUUGCUCCCAACUGAUGAUCCCAUUGGUUAAAAGCAAGAACACAAACAAUCCUCACCCAAACAAAUAAAUAAAACAGGGAGAAAAACAUUAUUAGAAGAGUUUUCACUACUAGAGCAAGCAAAGAAAACUACUGGCAUUUUACACAGCAAAGUUCCUCAUCAGUCAACAGAAUUUUCCUUAAAUUUUCUAUUACAAAAAGAAUCUCAGUGUUUAAUAUAAAAAAUAAAGGGCUAUUUAUUUUUCAAAAAUCAUUUAAAAAUAGCAUAAAUACCAUAUGAAUUCAGUUCAUAUUUCACCUGCUUUGCUUAGGAAGAUGACUUCAAGCUCAGCAACCUCUGUGAGUAAACACCGGGGUGUAUUUGGUCAAACAACCCAAAAUACUUGCUGAAGAUUACUUUUACAAACAAGCCUGGGAAAUUUGCUUUGCUGUUUGCUGUUGGGUUGUGUUAUUUGCUCUCAGCAAGUGUUCAGAUGGGCCCUGACUGGUUUAUUCAGACAAAUAUUUGCAAGACCUUUUAAGUUUGGCCUAAAUGUUUAUUUGUUGAAAAAAUUCAUAUGAGGAAAGACUUGGUUAUUCUUCAUUCACUUGCCAGCAUUGUUAUUCCUCAUUUUUUAAGAAGUCAUAUGUCCAGUAAGAGAAUGGAGACAAUGCCCAUGUGAUUUUGAUGACAAAUUGUGUGUUAUAAACAACGACUGGUAAAAAUGAUCAGUGCUUGAAUAAGGCCAACACUUGUUUGCAUAAACCAUCCAGUAAAUAUUUAGAAAUAACAAAUACUUUCCUAGAAAUCAGAAUUGCUGUGUGAGCAGAUCGCCAGCAAGAAGGAACACAAAACUUGGGGAAUAUUUUGUUUGCCAUGAAAAAAAAAAAAAUUGGACCACUUGUUCCUGAAUAUUUCAAGCAGAAAAAUUAAGCUCAAGCAUUUCUUUAUAACCCUUCCAACACAAUUGGUUAUUAGCAGCUCUUCCAGCUAAGGAUGCACCUUGGGAUUCUUUAAGAGAUAUUUCUUAAAUUAGAUAAAUCACACAGCUAAUGAGACUUGCUCUUGGAAAGCUCAAAAUUCAAUUUUUGUUGUGUUUUUGGGGUUUUUCCUUAUCUUUUCCAAUUGUGUUUCCUUCCUUGUGCACAUGUGAUACUCUGUUAACCUUGGUCCCUGCUACUUGCUCACAUUCCUACAUCAAUUUUAUCCUAAAGUAAACCUUUAAACAUCAAUUUUUAAAUUUAAUUUUAUCUUUUGUAGGGCAAAGAAACAACAUUAAAAUAUUUAACACGUGGCCAGUGGAUAGGAGGAAAAUAAACACAAUAUUUGAGGUCUUCCACCUCUCUUGGUGUCCCCUUUAUGGUCUCAUAAAGGGCAGAAAUAUCAACAUCUACUUCAAGGAGCAUAAUAAUGGUGACCAAAGUGCAACUUUAAAACGAGUUUGCCUGUUAGCUGGGAAACAUUUAUUUAUGCAGUGCUGAGAAGAGCUGGAGCUGAAAAUAUCCUUUCAGAGACAUUAAAGCACAUUAUUAGGAGCUGUGGCUCACCAACACACAGACUCAAAUGCUGGAUGAGGAACUCCCAACCCUGGCACCUCACUGGAAACAUCCCUGCCUGGCCCCAGCCCUGCCACUUCAGAAUGAAAACUGAAAGCAAAGA